CAGUAGCCGCGGUAAUACGAAGGGUGCAAGCGUUACUCGGAAUUACUGGGCGUAAAGCGUGCGUAGGUGGUGGUUUAAGUCCGUUGUGAAAGCCCUGGGCUCAACCUGGGAAUUGCAGUGGAUACUGGGUCACUAGAGUGUGGUAGAGGAUGGUGGAAUUCCCGGUGUAGCGGUGAAAUGCGUAGAGAUCGGGAGGAACAUCAGUGGCGAAGGCGGCCAUCUGGGACAACACUGACGCUGAGGCACGAAAGCGUGGGGAGCAAACAGGAUUAGAUACCCCUGUAGUCCCUGUCUCUUAUAC
RNAcentral lists this ribosomal RNA (301 nucleotides) under uncultured bacterium. RNAcentral describes it as "partial 16S ribosomal RNA". It matches the Rfam family "Bacterial small subunit ribosomal RNA", at positions 509 to 807 of the family's 1533-position model. The record is from RNAcentral.